Amphimedon queenslandica is the source of this 405-nucleotide long non-coding RNA. RefSeq lists it as uncharacterized. The transcript is spliced from 3 exons. Lineage: Eukaryota; Metazoa; Porifera; Demospongiae; Haplosclerida; Niphatidae. The record is from RefSeq and is a predicted model, not a curated record.
AUUCCUUUUAGUAUAUGUUUUCAUUUUGUUUGGAUUUGAUAUCAGUGUAAAACCGACUAUAGAGACAAAAAUAGGAAUAUUGAUUUAGCCAUAGAAAAGUAUGGUGCUCCAUACCCGACCAAAAAUAUUUCUGUUUUUGUUAAAAUGUAGUUGUGUAAAUGUGGCCUAAAUUAAAAAUACAUUUAAGGAAAUGUAGGAAGCUCUAUCUCCAUGGAUAAUGAACUAAAGGCUCCAUUUCUAGGCUGCUGAAGUUGAGGCUGAAGGCUCUGGACUUAUGAGUAAUUUGAUCUAAUUGAUAAUCAUGGUGUGUGCAUACGAGUGUUAGGUGAUAUUAAAUUAUUACCAACUGAUGUACAAGAAUCAGUAGCAAGAGCUGUGACAAUGACUAAAAACAAUAACAAUUAA